RNAcentral lists this ribosomal RNA (494 nucleotides) under uncultured bacterium. RNAcentral describes it as "partial 16S ribosomal RNA". It matches the Rfam family "Bacterial small subunit ribosomal RNA", at positions 28 to 523 of the family's 1533-position model. The record is from RNAcentral.
GAUGAACGCUAGCGGCAGGCUUAACACAUGCAAGUCGAGGGGUAUAGGUUUUCGGACCUAGAGACCGGCGCACGGGUGCGUAACGCGUAUGCAAUCUACCUUUCACAGAGGGAUAGCCCAGAGAAAUUUGGAUUAAUACCUCAUAGUAUUAUAGAAUGGCAUCAUUUUAUAAUUAAAGUCACAACGGUGAAAGAUGAGCAUGCGUCCCAUUAGCUAGUUGGUAUGGCAACGGCAUACCAAGGCUACGAUGGGUAGGGGUCCUGAGAGGGAGAUCCCCCACACUGGUACUGAGACACGGACCAGACUCCUACGGGAGGCAGCAGUGAGGAAUAUUGGUCAAUGGGCGCAAGCCUGAACCAGCCAUGCCGCGUGCAGGAUGACGGUCCUAUGGAUUGUAAACUGCUUUUGUACGGGAAGAAACACUCCUACGUGUAGGAACUUGACGGUACCGUAAGAAUAAGGAUCGGCUAACUCCGUGCCAGCCGCCGCAGUAA